GGAAAGACCUUGGCCAACUUUCAUGUGGAUCACCAUUGAAAAACUUCUAUCUUGGGGUUUGGAGAAUACCAACAUGCCACUUCUUCAUUUUGAUGAAAGUAUAAAAUUCUAUCUCUUUUGCAUGCUUGAUUUUGUUUUAUCGAUAUCGACAAGGUGAUUCUAGAGUUUGAUUUCUGGCUUGAUAGUUUUAUUUGAUAAAACUAUGCACUUAUUUGAUUUUAAAAUUUUAAAAAUUAUUUUUUACU
RNAcentral lists this long non-coding RNA (245 nucleotides) under Elaeis guineensis (African oil palm). RNAcentral's name for it is "long non-coding RNA (EGUI_LNC065945)". The record is from RNAcentral. Lineage: Eukaryota; Viridiplantae; Streptophyta; Magnoliopsida; Arecales; Arecaceae.